GACGAAGGUGGCAAGCGUUGUUCGGAAUCACUGGGCAUAAAGAGCACGUAGGCGGCUAAGUCAGUCGGAUGUGAAAUACCUCGGCUCAACCGAGGAACUGCGUCCGAUACUGCUUGGCUUGAGGUCCGGAGGGGAGAGUGGAAUUCCCGGUGGAGCGGUGAAAUGCGUAGAGAUCGGGAAGAACGCCGGCGGCGAAAGCGACUCUCUGGUCGGAAUCUGACGCUGAGGUGCGAAAGCUAGGGGAGCAAACGGG
RNAcentral lists this ribosomal RNA (253 nucleotides) under uncultured bacterium. RNAcentral's name for it is "partial 16S ribosomal RNA". It matches the Rfam family "Bacterial small subunit ribosomal RNA", at positions 524 to 776 of the family's 1533-position model. RNAcentral also lists the same sequence under 1 other name. The record is from RNAcentral.